Molecule: ribosomal RNA, 635 nt
Filed under: Rzedowskia tolantonguensis
Lineage: Eukaryota; Viridiplantae; Streptophyta; Magnoliopsida; Celastrales; Celastraceae
Description: eukaryotic LSU rRNA
Rfam family: 5.8S ribosomal RNA (bases 242-397)
Source: RNAcentral
AACCUGCGAGGCAGAACGACCAGCGAACAAGUGAAAACCACUUCGGGAGGCAGGCCCCAGCGCCGGUCGCCCGAGGCCUGAGGGGGAGGGACGUGGGACGCCACACAACCCCUGCUCCGAAGGCACCAAGAACAAACCCCGGCGCGAAUUGCGUCAAGGAACCGAUAACGGAUGUGCGCCUCCCCAGACCGAAGACGGUUAAGCGGGGCGGUUGCGUCGUCGUUCAUACCUUAUGUGAAACGACUCUCGGCAACGGAUAUCUUGGCUCUCGCAUCGAUGAAGAACGUAGCGAAAUGCGAUACUUGGUGUGAAUUGCAGAAUCCCGUGAACCAUCGAGUCUUUGAACGCAAGUUGCGCCCGAAGCCAUUCGGCCGAGGGCACGUCUGCCUGGGUGUCACGCAACGUCGCCAACAAUACCUCCCCGAGCCCCACUGCGGGGGGGCGAGGGACGGCGGAUGCUGGCCUCCCGUGACCCCCCGGUCGCGGUUGGCCCAAAACACAGUUCCCUGGCGAUGGCAGCCACGGCACGCGGUGGUCGGCAGCAGAUGCUCCUCGAAAACCGCCGUGGGCGAGCCUCGUCUCCGGGAACCAAGGACCCCGAUGCAAGCGUCAACACAGAGCGACCCAAGGUCAGG